AGAAGGGAUCAUUCUGGCAUGCCCUUCCACCAUACCCCGUCAGUUGGUAAGGCAGGACACACGACACUGAUCUGCACAUAAUCCGCGGACCUGCUGGGACCUCGUCGGAGCGAAUUGCGGAACAACGGAAAAGAGCUCUCUGGCCAGUUUCGGAUCAUUUCAUGAAGACACGCGCGCGCUGCACAUAAGCGAUUAUUUAUUUUCCAAAUCUGAUUUACAAUUCUACGGGAGGACAAGGUGUUUGGUGUGGCGGAAAUGGACUCGUUUGUAAUGGUUGUCAUUUAUCUAAACAUGGAGCUCUUCCUAUGUACUACCAAUGAAAUAUAAUGUGCUGCCGAACUCCUACGCGCUUGUUAUCUUCAGGUGAGCUUCACGAAGGUCGACGGAGAAGGUGAGAACGAUUACUGAUUUACGGAAAUUAGAAGGAUUAUGUAUUUAUCUCUUCUGUUCGAACAAAAUGGCUCCAUAAAUAGUGUUGGAGCAGCAUGGAGACACGGGAAUCGGGGGCACCAGAGAAGUCUUCGUGCUAAAGGGUAGUGAAAGAAUAGAACAUACUUGUAGAAGAGAGAUGUCGAAUGAAAGAGAUAACGUACCGCGCACGCGAAAAGGAAGCGCAUCCUGUUCCGUUUGCCGUGACGUCAGUGCCAUGCGCAAUUGCUAAUUGACAAGGACAUACGGGAACCAGUACAUGAUGGGACAACGAAGCGAAAUGGAGGAGAUCACGUUUAUCGGAAAAGCGAUUGGCCAAAUAAUGCCAAGGAAAACACUCUAAUCUCUGAUUUUCCGAUCUUCCUUCCCGGGGGUCUCAGCACAAGAGGGGAACAUGCACAUACAGAACCAUGGGAGAGGACUCAUGGUUGGUUAGAGAGGGACGAGACUGACGGUAGAAGGUAGUUUAUGUAUUUGGCAAAACCUUAUUAACCGAUUAAUGAGCUAUCGGGCAGAGGAUCUAAUGGCGGAGGUGUUACAAAUCGCUUCAACUGAUCUCAUAUAUUGAGCGAUUGUGUGUGGGUAUUGAUCGAUUGUAUUGGUGGUGUACGAAUAUUCAUGUAAAAAAUCACUCA
This is a long non-coding RNA of Anopheles gambiae (African malaria mosquito), 1064 nucleotides long. RefSeq lists it as uncharacterized. Lineage: Eukaryota; Metazoa; Arthropoda; Insecta; Diptera; Culicidae. The record is from RefSeq and is a predicted model, not a curated record. The transcript is spliced from 3 exons.